RNAcentral lists this small nuclear RNA (273 nucleotides) under Equus caballus (horse). RNAcentral's name for it is "7SK RNA". It matches the Rfam family "7SK RNA". From Rfam's summary of the family: 7SK was discovered as an abundant small nuclear RNA in the mid-70s but a possible function has only recently been suggested. Lineage: Eukaryota; Metazoa; Chordata; Mammalia; Perissodactyla; Equidae. The record is from Rfam by way of RNAcentral.
GCAUGUGAAUGCUGUCUGACUGCAAGGUGAGUGACUUCCAUUUAUCCCCAGCCAUGAUUUGGCUGAUCUGGCCAGCUACAAGGCAGAGCUUUGUCCUUCCUUUAUGUAUCACAUCUAAAUUUCAUGUCAGGAAAGACUUCCCUGAAAUAGAAAAACAGUUCUUUAGGUGGGUAUAAGAGGAGGUGUCCUCCAAGAAUAUCCAGAUGAGCUCUCAAAGAGCAUUUGUAAAAGACAGAAGAGUCACACUUCCAACUAUGAGUGAAAACUGAAGUU